AACGAACGCUGGCGGCAGGCCUAACACAUGCAAGUCGAGCGCCCCGCAAGGGGAGCGGCGGACGGGUGAGUAACGCGUGGGAAUAUGCCCUUUGCUACGGAAUAGUCUCGGGAAACUGGGGGUAAUACCGUAUACGCCCUUUGGGGGAAAGAUUUAUCGGCGAAGGAUUAGCCCGCGUUGGAUUAGGUAGUUGGUGGGGUAAUGGCCUACCAAGCCGACGAUCCAUAGCUGGUGUGAGAGGAUGAUCAGCCACACUGGGACUGAGACACGGCCCAGACUCCUACGGGAGGCAGCAGUGGGGAAUCUUAGACAAUGGGGGCAACCCUGAUCUAGCCAUGCCGCGUGAGUGAUGAAGGCCUUAGGGUUGUAAAGCUCUUUCAGCUGGGAAGAUAAUGACGGUACCAGCAGAAGAAGCCCCGGCUAACUCCGUG
RNAcentral lists this ribosomal RNA (431 nucleotides) under uncultured bacterium. Its description in RNAcentral is "partial 16S ribosomal RNA". It matches the Rfam family "Bacterial small subunit ribosomal RNA", at positions 29 to 507 of the family's 1533-position model. The record is from RNAcentral.